This 67-nucleotide transfer RNA is filed under the name Ornithorhynchus anatinus (platypus). It matches the Rfam family "tRNA". Rfam says of the family: Transfer RNA (tRNA) molecules are approximately 80 nucleotides in length. Lineage: Eukaryota; Metazoa; Chordata; Mammalia; Monotremata; Ornithorhynchidae. The record is from Rfam by way of RNAcentral.
GGCGGUCUAAUGGAAAGGGCACAGGCCUGGGAGUCCUGGGACCUGGGUUCUAAUCCCAGGUCUGCCA